Molecule: non-coding RNA, 119 nt
Organism: Picea glauca (white spruce)
Lineage: Eukaryota; Viridiplantae; Streptophyta; Pinopsida; Pinales; Pinaceae
Source: Rfam
GGGUGUGAUCAUACCAACAUUAAUGCACCGUAUCCCAUCGGAACUCCGUAGUUAAGUGCGCUUGGGAUGGAGUAGUACUGGGAUGGGUGACCUUCCGAGAAGUCCUAGCAUUUCACCCU